GGGUCGAGUAUGGUUAGCGUUUUCACUCAGAAGAUCCUCUUAAAUCUGUCCCUUCUUUUCUACCUUAAUUAAGAAUUCUACACUGAUGACAGAAGAUGAAGAAUAUUCUCCCCUUCUGGGGAGGGACAAAGAUAAACUAGAUAAUUUGUGGUCGGAAUAAGGUAAAGGGUAUGGUCUCAAAUUAAGAAAUGUGAUGGUUGAAGCCGGUAGAAGGAGAAGAUUAGCUGAGCAACUUGGCAAGUCCUUCUCAGGGUUUCCAGAAACUGGCUGGAGAUGUAGCAGGGACGCAUCCAAGCCAUGACAACUAUAUGCCUAGCAUACUUGUUGAAGUCUCUAGAUCCUGUGACUUUCUGGUGGAAAAGUCCAGAAACUCUCAAGAAGGUACCUCUAUGAUGUGGGGGCAGCAGCUAAAAGGUGAAAAAGAAAAAGUCAGACAGAAGAAUUGCUGGAUCGAGGCCAUCAAGCUACAGAUGGUCUUACAAAUGGAACCCCAAAUGAACUCAACUAACAACUUCUACCAAGUACCCCUGGACCAAUGGGCUGGCCCUUUCACUGGCCUAAAGAAUUCCCCUCUGGAGGACACUACAACUGCAGGGGCCCUUAUUCACCACUAUCCAGCAGGAAGUAGCUAAAGCGGUCAUCGCCCAAUUCCCGACAACAGUUGGGGUGUCCUGUUUAGAUGGGAGAUUGAGAGGUGAAGCCAGUUGGACUUCCUGGGUUGAGUGGGGACUUGCAGAACUUUUAUGUCUAGCUAGAGGAUUGUAAAUGCACCAAUCAGCACUCUGUAAAAACGCACCAAUCAGCACUCUGUGUCUAGCUAAAGGUUUGUAAACACACCAGUCGGCACUCUGUAAAAAUGAACCAAUCAGCACUCUGUAAAAUGGACCAAUCAGCAGGAUGUAGCGGGGCCAAAUAAGGGAAUAAAAGCUGGCCACCUGAGCCAGCAGCAGCAACCCACUUGGGUCCCCUUCCACACUGUGGAAACUUCGUUCCUUCACUCUUCACAAUAAAUCUUGCUGCUGCUCACUCUUUGGGUCUGCACUACCUUUAUGAGCUGUAACACUCACUGUGAAGGUUUGCGGCUUCACUCCUGAAGUCAGCGAGACCACAAACCCACUGGGAGGAACAAACAACUCUGGAUGCGCCACCUUUAAGAACUGUAACAUUCACUGCGAGUGUCCGUGGCUUCAUUCUUGAAGUCAGCAAGACCAAGAACCCACCGGAAGGAAUACAUUCCAGACACAAUAGCACUAAUGAGCUAAUCAUAUUAUUUUCUACUUAUGGUAGUGGGAACUGACAUAAUAUAUUUACAUAUUCAGAAUCACAGUUGCUCUUGCAGUAUGAACACAAGAUAUUUACAUUGCAUUAAAAUAUAUAUUAUCACAUUUUGUUUGCUAACAUUUUAUUGACUCUGUUUUUGCACCCAUACUCAUAGGUGAAAUGUCAUGUAUAUAGAAUUUAUUUUCCAUGCUAAUCUUGUCUAAAUCAAACAUAUAUUAGCUUUAUAAAACAAGGGAAUAUUUGGCAUUCUAUUCUCUGCAAACGUUCAAAUUUUUAGAAUGGAACAAUAGGGACAAUAAAGAGUAAUAGAUUUAGAAAUGCAUACUUGAAAUAAAAGGAAUUUAUUGAGUUAAUGACUUAAGCCCCCAACACAAGAAUACUUUGUAAAGACUAAUAUUUUAAUUCCAAAGAAAACCCAAGAAAGAAAUUACCAAGAAAUAAGAAUAUAAACAGAUUUCAAUAAACUAGAACUCUAAGAAACAAUAUUUAAGUGUAAUAAAAUGAAACACAUGUUCUUUGAAAAGUCUCAGUAAAUAGAUACAUCCUAAGAGCAUUGAAAAUAUGAUAAAAAAAGGAGUGAGACAUAAGUAGUCACAGAAAUGAACAGUAAAACAUAAUUAUACCUACAAUAAAACUGAAGUAAUAAGAAAGUUUUCAGGAAGUUCUGUGAAAAUAAAUUUGAAAACUGGGUGAAAUCCAGAACUUCUUUGACAAAAAUAUAGCCUUAAACUCAUUCAGAAGAUUUUGAAAGCACAAAUGGUUCUACCAUUAUUAAAGACAUGGAAUCACACAGAUAUGCCUCCACACACAAACAUAGAGACAAACACACACACAAAAUUUAUACAGUUGUUUAAGGUUUAUACUGCUUAUUUUUGUUUCUGCUAAUGUUGACAUAUAUUUUGUUUCAUUGCAUGUUUUAAUUUUUGUAUUAUGAACUUAUUAUUUUUCACUGGAUGUUUUCUGUGCAAACUAGCUGGAGAGUUUCUUCUUCAGACCAAUAUUGUAUUUGCUUUGUCAGAUGCAUCAGAGAUAAGUCCUAAAGCAAUUCUUGUUAGGGUUUCCUGAACUUUGAGAAUGGCAUACAGCUGACCUGGAAAACUAGGUGAGGCCAGGUGCCUGUGUAAACAUUUUUAGAAAGGACCUCUGUAUUUUAAGUUGCAGAAUCAAAUUAUAAAUAGGCAAUAAA
Molecule: long non-coding RNA, 2467 nt
Filed under: Homo sapiens (human)
Lineage: Eukaryota; Metazoa; Chordata; Mammalia; Primates; Hominidae
Description: Novel transcript
Source: RNAcentral